RNAcentral lists this long non-coding RNA (811 nucleotides) under Triticum aestivum (bread wheat). RNAcentral describes it as "long non-coding RNA (TAES_LNC009612)". Lineage: Eukaryota; Viridiplantae; Streptophyta; Magnoliopsida; Poales; Poaceae. The record is from RNAcentral.
UUCGAUUCAUCUUCAUGGGCAUCUUCAUCUCAUCCAUCACACAACACACAACCUAGCUAGCUACUGCUGUUGAUCGAUCUUGCACACCCAACUGAAGGUCGACGCAUGGCAUCCAAGGGUCUCAUAGUGGUUGCUGUCCUGCUUGCUGCGGCUUUCCUCGUGGCCACAGCUGAACAAACUCGUGAGCGUACUAGUAGAGUAGUUUUCAACUGAUUCGAUCACUGUAUAAACUAGGCAUACACGCAGUAUCGUAUUUAUCAUCAUUACGCUAGUUAAGAAACCCUGCUGCUGCUGCUGCUGCAACUAAUUAAAUGUACACCGUUUCUGCUCAUGCAGAGGCCAACAAGGAAGAGACCCAGGCCGGUGUUCAGGGUGGCUACCCCGGCGGCGGUGGCGGUUGCGGUUGUGGCGGAUAUUCUGGACCCGGUGGAUACCCUGGACACGGCGGGGGCGGCGGCAGCGGCGGAGGUCCGCAACUAAGUGCCGGAUGCAGCAGCGUGCAUGCGUAGUAUAGACGUACUACCGUUGCUAGGUGCACGCACGUAGCAACUACUCGUGUGCAUGGUCAAUAAGAAGGUAGUGCAUGUGUAUGUAUACGUACACAUUGCACAGUUAUCUUGAUCCAAUACCAGGACUCCGUUCUGGUCAAUGGUGUUUCUGUUUACCCCUGUAAGAGUUGUCUUUCUUGCUCAAUAUGCAGGAAACUAUCGUUCAUGCAUGUUAUAACAAAGGGAGCCACUAGAUUUCAAUCGACUGAAUAUAAUACUCCCUUUGUCCGAAAAAACUUGUCCCUCAAGUAAAUGUAUUUAAC